ACCGCUGAGCCACCCGGGGUGCCUGAAUGUUGGUUUUCAAAAUACAGAAAUGGGGAAUGGAUUCAUGCUUAUGUUAGCAGCCGUCGUAACGCACACUGUUAUUUUUUGACAAACAAAGGAAUUGAGACACACACUGUUCUCUUUCAGCGCCCAGCACGGGUGGCCCAGAGCCCGGGGGUUGCUGUGCCUCACCGCGGGGAAGCGACCCAGAGGGGCCGCGGGUUUGGGGCUGGCCUUGCAAAUACGGUUCCGCGGCCCUCCUCACACGGGCCCCCUAACCCGGCAGGUGCCCCCGGGGAGCCCUCAUCACACGGGCCCCCUAACCCGGCAGGUCCCCCCGGGGAGCCCUCAUCACACGGGCCCCUUAACCCGGCAGGUGCCCCCGGGGAGCCCUCCUCACACGGGCCCCCUAACCCGGCAGGUGCCCCCGGGGAGCCCUCCUCACACGGGCCCCCUAACCCGGCAGGUGCCCUUGGGGAGCCCUCAUCAGAUGGGCCCCCUAACCCGGCAGGUGCCCCCAGGGAGCCCUCAUCAGAUGGGCCCCCUAACCCGGCAGGUGCCUCCGGGGAGCCCUCCUCAGAUGGACCCCCUAACCCGGCAGGUGCCCCCGGGGAGCCCUCCUCACACAGGCCCCCUAACCCGGCAGGUGCCCCCGGGGAGCCCUCAUCAGAUGGGCCCCCUAACCCGGCAGGUGCCCCCGGGGAGCCCUCCUCAGAUGGACCCCCUAACCUGGCGGGUGCCCCAGGGAGCCUCAGGGAGCAAAUGAGCAAACGCACAACCAGCUGCGCAACCAGCCUUCCGCAGGACGACAGGAUCUGCGCUCACCAGGGGAUGGCGACAGCACCGUGCACCGCGGGACUUCGGCUCUGUCGCCUCCCCACCUCCCUUGACUCACUCCGACCUCUGCUUCUGGAGGAAAUGUCUGUGCUCCUUAGGGCCUCCAUCCUCCCUGCGUGGGGUCAGGGACCAGCCCGUCGCUACAGCACCGGGGCGGGCAAGGAGGCGACCCUCCCGGCGUCCCUGCCCCAUCACGACAGCACGUUGUCCCACGACCUGGGAGCCACGACGGUCAUCACAGGAGGACGCAGGCCGGUGGGGCGCGGUGCCGUCUGA
This 1113-nucleotide long non-coding RNA is filed under the name Canis lupus familiaris (dog). RNAcentral describes it as "lncRNA (ENSCAFG00845023158.1)". Lineage: Eukaryota; Metazoa; Chordata; Mammalia; Carnivora; Canidae. The record is from RNAcentral.